AAUGGAACCAAAUUAAAGCUAACAGAUCUAUUUGGGGAGGAAAGAAGGCCAGAGUUCGAUACACUACACUCCAGUUGCCAAAGGAUAAAGGUGGAAUGGC
Molecule: long non-coding RNA, 100 nt
Organism: Amblyraja radiata (thorny skate)
Lineage: Eukaryota; Metazoa; Chordata; Chondrichthyes; Rajiformes; Rajidae
Exons: 4
Source: RefSeq, a predicted model, not a curated record